CCUACGGGGGGCUGCAGUGGGGAAUAUUGGACAAUGGGGGGAACCCUGAUCCAGCCAUGCCGCGUGUGUGAAGAAGGCCCUCGGGGUGUAAAGCACUUUCAGUGAGGAAGAACGCCUGGUGGUUAAUACCCAUCAGGAAAGACAUCACUCACAGAAGAAGCACCGGCUAACUCCGUGCCAGCAGCCGCGGUAAUACGGAGGGUGCGAGCGUUAAUCGGAAUUACUGGGCGUAAAGCGCGCGUAGGUGGCUUGAUAAGCCGGUUGUGAAAGCCCCGGGCUCAACCUGGGAACGGCAUCCGGAACUGUCAAGCUAGAGUGCAGGAGAGGAAGGUAGAAUUCCCGGUGUAGCGGUGAAAUGCGUAGAGAUCGGGAGGAAUACCAGUGGCGAAGGCGGCCUUCUGGACUGACACUGACACUGAGGUGCGAAAGCGUGGGUAGCAAACAGGAUUAGAUACCCGAGUAGUC
Molecule: ribosomal RNA, 465 nt
Filed under: Vreelandella stevensii
Lineage: Bacteria; Pseudomonadati; Pseudomonadota; Gammaproteobacteria; Oceanospirillales; Halomonadaceae
Description: partial 16S ribosomal RNA
Rfam family: Bacterial small subunit ribosomal RNA
Source: RNAcentral